This 557-nucleotide ribosomal RNA is filed under the name uncultured archaeon. RNAcentral describes it as "bacterial SSU rRNA". It matches the Rfam family "Archaeal small subunit ribosomal RNA", at positions 1 to 549 of the family's 1478-position model. The record is from RNAcentral.
CUCGAGGCCAGAUCUUUCCGGUUGAUCCCGCCGGACCUGACUGCUAUCGGAUUGAUACUAAGCCAUGCGAGUCAUUGUAGCAAUACAAGGCAGACGGCUCAGUAACACGUAGUCAACCUACCCUAUGGACGGGGAUAAUCUCGGGAAACUGAGAAUAAUACCCGACAGAUCAUUGUGCCUGGAAUGGCUAAUGGUUGAAAUGAUUUAUCGCCGUAGGAUGGGACUGCGGCCUAUCAGUUUGUUGGCGGGGUAAUGGCCCACCAAGACUAUUACAGGUACGGGCUCUGAGAGGAGAGGCCCGGAGAUGGGUACUGAGACACGGACCCAGGCCCUAUGGGGCGCAGCAGGCGAGAAACCUUUGCAAUGUGCGAAAGCACGACAAGGUUAAUCCGAGUGUUUUCUGCUAAAGAAAUCUUUUGUCAGUCCUAAAAACACUGAUGAAUAAGGGGUGGGCAAGUUCUGGUGUCAGCCGCCGCGGUAAAACCAGCACCUCAAGUGGUCAGGAGGUUUAUUGGGCCUAAAGCAUCCGUAGCCGGCUAUGCAAGUUUUCGGUUAAA